Molecule: long non-coding RNA, 3794 nt
Filed under: Mytilus galloprovincialis (Mediterranean mussel)
Lineage: Eukaryota; Metazoa; Mollusca; Bivalvia; Mytilida; Mytilidae
Source: RNAcentral
CAUCCUACACAAGGUAAGUAGUCUUAUUGAUAUAUAUAUUCAUUAGCUAUGACAUUUAAAAAAUAAAUUCAGGUGCUUUUAAUUCUCUUGAUAAUUUUUUCAGCUUAGAAAAUAAUCCAGAUUUAAAAUGAUGCUUUUGAUCCUUUUUUUUUGUCAAUGAUAUUUAAGAUAUUUAGAAAUAAAUGACGUUUUCAUUCGGGUUAUCUUCAAAAUUACAAGAAGAUAUAUGAUGCAAGAUAAGAUCUUUUACAGAAAUCUUAACUUAAAUAACUUUAAAAGGACCAACCAUUCCCUUCAGGAACUGAAAUAAAAUACCAUCUGUAAUAAGAGAAAGAUUAGAUUCGAAUCUUUAUACUUAAUUUUCAUUAUAAAUAUAAUAUCAACCAUUAUUACUAGUAAUAUUCAAAAUUAUGCUUGUUUGGUUUUGCUCUUUAAAUAUCACAUUUCAAUUACUUCUUUUAAGAUUUCGCAGCAGAAAUGUAUCUUGUAAAUUGUAAAUUACUUAUCAAAAUUAGAUACCUCAUAUAUAGCAAAGAGUGUUAAUACUUCAAGAUACAAAUAUCUGAAUAGUUGUGUGUUGUUAUUUUUAUUUAGGUUCAUUUGAUCUUUAAAAAGAGUACAAUAACCAAGUUCUAUUCAUAUAAAAACUUUGUUAAUUAAAACCAAAAUAAGUAAAUGAACAACUAUUAUUUUGCAUGCUUUAUUUUUAACUGAAAAGAUGUGUUUUUAAUUUCUUUCAAAAUAUUUCAUCCUGACCAUGAAGGCAAGAAUUGAUGUUUUGUAGAAGUAACAUGGAUCAUGACCCUGAUCAUACAUGUCUUAAUGACCAUUGUUUUGUCAACACUGUUACUGUGCAUUAUAUAUAGUACAUAGUGACCCUUCUCUCUCCAAUCGUCAAAUCCCAGAUAUAACAUGUAUAAUGAACAUUGUGUAAAAAAAAAUGUAUGACCGAAUAUUGGUUUAUCCUACUUCUCCUCUACAUUUAUUGUCUAAUAACUCUUAUAACAUACUGUCAACUUUUGGAGAAAAAAAAUAAAAGUAGCUUUAAAUUCAAGAUCCAUGUUCAAUGAUAUAUCCCUUUACAAAUAUAAUACAAGAUUUCUCCGUUCUACAUCAAAUUUCAGAACUUUUCUGUUCUUUCGCAAACUGAACAUCAUAAAGUAGACUAUGCAAUUGAUCACAGGAGUAUCUGAGAAAAAUAGUGGUAAAGUUUUGUAACCUCAACCUGUUUUUCAUAAUUUUUGUUCUUCAAUAAUAAGUACUAAAUUUAUAUUAGUAUCAGUUCUAAGCUGUUGUGUUGAACGAUUUGAAAUCAAUCUAUCAGCAAUCAGCAUUGAAAAUGGAAAUGGGGAUUUGGGAGACAACAACUCGACCAAAGAUCGGAUAACAGCUGAAGGCCACCAAUAGGUAACAAAAGAAACGAAACACAAUGACAAUGAUGCAUACAUUAACAAAGAAAUACUAGCAGUUAGUGACAUGCCAGCUCCAGACCUCAAUCAAACUGAUUGCAAGAUUAUGUCUUUAUCAUAUGAAUUUGAAGCACCAUCCCUCCCGUUAAGUGUUGGGUGUCAUUUCAUCAUAAAAUAGAUGUAGAACAUAGUCCGUAUUACAACUGGUUUUAGAAUAAGUAAAACAAUAUUACAGCUAAAAUAUGCCAUCAUUAUGACCUGACAAUAGUGUCGUAACUAUAUCCCUUUUUAAUUAGAUGUUUAAAGGGGCUUUUCUUGGCUUUUGAAGUGAAUGCCGACAUUUUUGUGCUUUUUAAAGAAUAUUACCAUAAACGAUUGGAAAUGAAAUACCUAAACGUAAAAUAUGUUUGCAUGUUGAUUUAUAUUUACGAAUGAUGUCCUUGUACCGAUGAUAAAGUUUAGUAAAAGUUUUGACUAGUUUUAAUAUCGAAAACCCUUGCGUAAUAAUUUUUCAGUAAUACAUAGAUUUCUUUCUCUUAAAUCUAAAACAUUGCUAAAUACACGAGCGAAUCGUACAAGUUGAGUACAAGUAAAGCAUGUUUUGAAGAAUCCUCAAUAAAAGAGAACACCUAAAUCUUUUAAAAGUGGGCUGUAAAUUUCUAAAUAUCAAAAAGGGUUGAGGGGAGGAGGUAAUUUCAAGUGCUUGUUUAUUCAAAAUAAAGAGAACAACAUGUUGCUCCUCAGAUAUCUACAUUGAUUUCUAAAUAUUAAUAUUUUUCCCCAUACAAAAUAGGAAUUGGCACUAACAAUAUAAUGUAAAAUCGCACAGACCUUAAUUCUUUUAAACAAGAAAAGCAUACACUUAUGUGAAGGGGUUCGUAGGGAAAUCUUGCCAAGCUUUAGUUUUGUUAUUCUCUUGUCCGGUAAUUCUGAGUUCCAUCAAUACUUAUCGAUAGGUUUAAAAGACAGCUUUAUUCUAUUGAACAAAAAAUUCAUAUAGAUAUCUUUCAUUUGCAUUUACCUCAUAUUCAAUACAAAAUUUUUAAUAGGAUGUCAUGCUACCCUAUUUAUGUCAUUGGGUUGCUGUCUCAUUGAUGUAUACAUGUACCCUUCAUCUCCAUUUAUUUAUACUAAACAAAAAAAAACAUUUCUUUAUAUUUGUUAUGUAACACUGUACAAAUGAAUAUAUAUAAAAAAACACAGUCACUAACAUAAUGUCAUACAACAAAGAUGUUGUGAACCUGAAUGCACUAACUUAAAAUAAUAAGUUGUACCACAUACACCGGAUUAUAUAUACAUAAUAUACAUUAGCAUCUACACAAAAUAAACAUAUAUUUGCAGAUACAACAUGCAGCUCUCCAUUGCUCUAGGUUUACUAUUGGCAGCUGUAUGCACCAAUGCCUCAUACCUCAAAUGUUGGGGUAAAAGCUGUGGUGGAUAUGGUGGCGGAUACAGUGGUGGAUAUGGAGUUGGCUGGGGAGGCCUAGGUGGCUUGGGAGGUGGAUAUGGAGGCAUUGGUGGCUGGGGAGGAGGAUGGGGCAAAGGAGGAGGAUAUGGCCUAGGAGUUGGAUACGGAGGAUGGGGUCUAGGAGGUGGAUACAGAGGAUGGGGUAAAGGAGGAGGAUAUGGCCUAGUAGGUGGAUACGGAGGAUGGGGUAAAGGAGGUGGAUAUGGAGGAUGGGGUCUAGGAGGUGGAGUUGGAGGAUGGGGCCUUGGAGGUGGAUAUGGAGGAUGGGGCAAAGGAGGUGGAUGGGGCCUUGGAGGUGGAUAUGGAGGAUGGGGUAAAGGAGGUGGAUGGGGUAUUGGAGGUGGAUAUGGAGGAUGGGGCCUAGGAGGUGGAUAUGGAGGAAUCGGAGGUGGAUAUGGAGGUGGAUACGGAGGUGUUGUACUUAAAGGAAAAGGAUCAUACUAUUAAAUUCAGGAAAUCUUGUUAUGUACUGUCUCAGAAGGGAAAUAGGACACUUGUUGACGUCAAAUCCUUAUAUUAAUAUAUGCUGAUAUUUAGCAAAUAUAAAAUAGCUGUAUGACAGUGUUUAUUGUUUCUUUAUCCAAUAAUGUUUUAUCCUUCAUAAAAAUGUAAAUUUCACAAACAAAACAAAGGUGUAGGUCUGAUCAUGCACUCAUAUAUAUAGCCCCACCUUCUCACAACAAUUAUCAAUGUGGAUUAAUAGUCAAUAUAUAAUGAAUCAUGAGGGUCUGGAUAUUGGGUCCACCAUUUCUGUGUUCUUUUAUGUUUAAAGCCAUUUUUCUCUACUCUUAAUAAAUUGUAUCUGUUGUUCUCUAUUCUUUAUAUAACAGCACCUCAUUAUUCUCAAUUCCUUAUUCUCUUUGCAUAUUUACUCCAUAUGUGUUUGCCCUUUAUUCUGCAUUCUGUAAACCCCACCC